GUGAUGGGUAGCUGGUCUGAGAGGACGACCAGCCACAUUGGGACUGAGAUACGGCCCAGACUCCUACGGGAGGCAGCAGUGGGGUAUCUUGGACAAUGGACGAAAGUCUGAUCCAGCGACACCGCGUGGGGGAUGAAGGCUCUCGGGUCGUAAACCCCUUUUCUGGGGGAAGAAUAAGGUUGGGAGGAAAUGCCCAUCCGAUGACGGUACUCCAGGAAUAAGCAUCGGCAAACUCCGUGCCAGCAGCCGCGGUAAGACGGAGGAUGCGAGCGUUAUCCGGAAUUACUGGGCGUAAAGGACGUCUAGGCGGUUGGGUAAGUCACCUGUGAAAGCCCUCGGCUCAACCGAGGAAGGUCUCGUGAUACUGCCCGGCUUGGGUGUAGGAGAGGGGAGUGGAACUCACAGAGUAGCGGUGGAAUGCGUAGAUACUGUGAGGUACCCCGAUGGCGAAGGCAACUCCCUGGCCUACUACCGACGCUGAAGCGUGAAAGCGUGGGGAGCAAAGGGGAUUAGAUACCCCCGUAGUCCACGCCCCAAACGAUGUUCACUUGGUGUCGGCCGCAAAUAUAGGUCGGUGCCGGAGCUAACGCGUUAAGUGAACCGCCUGAGGAGUACGGCCGCAAGGCUAAAACUCAAGAGAAUUGACGGGUCCCCGCACAAGCGGUGGAGCACGUGGUUUAAUUCGAUUUAAGCGAAGAACCUCACCCAGGCUUGACAUACUAGUGGUAGGAACCUGAAAGGGGGACGACCCUGCCUUCGGGUAGGGAGCUAGUACAGGUGAUGCAUGGCUGUCGUCAGCUCGUGUCGUGGGAUGUAGGGUUAAGUCCCGAAACGAGCGCAACCCUUGUCGUUAGUUGCCAGCGGGUAAUGCCGGGGACUCUAGCGAGACUGCUGGUGAAUAGCCGGAGGAAGGCGGGGAUGACGUCAAGUCAUCAUGUCCCUUAUGCCUGGGGCGACACACAUGCUACAAUGGGGGGUACAGAGGGUCGCAAUACCGUAAGGUGGAGCCAAUCUCAAAAAACCCUCCUCAGUUCGGAUUGAGGUCUGCAACUCGACCUCAUGAAGCCGGAAUCGCUAGUAAUCGUAGGUCAGCCAUACUACGGUGAAUAUGUACUCGGGGAUUGUACACACCGCCCGUCACACCAACCGAGUGGGGGGUACCUGAAGUCGUCUCUCAGAGGCGCCGAGGGUAACCUUCGCAAGAGGGGUGAAGUCGUAACAAGGUA
Molecule: ribosomal RNA, 1226 nt
Filed under: metagenome
Description: bacterial SSU rRNA
Rfam family: Bacterial small subunit ribosomal RNA
Source: RNAcentral